This 511-nucleotide ribosomal RNA is filed under the name uncultured bacterium. RNAcentral describes it as "bacterial SSU rRNA". It matches the Rfam family "Bacterial small subunit ribosomal RNA", at positions 35 to 638 of the family's 1533-position model. The record is from RNAcentral.
GCUGGCGGCGUGCUUAACACAUGCAAGUCGAGGGACCGGCGGAAGGGUGCGUAACGCGUGAGCGACAUGCCCGUUGCCCGGGGACAACCGGUGGAAACGCCGACUAAUCCCCGAUGGCGACGGAUUGGCUCGCGUCCGAUUAGCUUGUUGGCGGGGUAACGGCCCACCAAGGCUACGAUCGGUAGGGGUUCUGAAGGAAGGCCCCCCACAAUGGGACUGAGACACGGCCCAUACUCCUACGGGAGGCAGCAGUGAGGAAUAUUGGUCAAUGGGCGGAAGCCUGAACCAGCCAUGCCGCGUGCGGGAAGGAGGCCUAUGGGCUGUGAACCGCUUUUGCCUGGGGGCGAGUACCAGGCGAAUAAGCAUCGGCUAACUCCGUGCCAGCAGCCGCGGUAAUACGGGGGAUGCGAGCGUUAUCCGGAUUCAUUGGGUUUAAAGGGUGCGUAGGCUGUGCGUCAAGUCGGGGGUGAAAUUCCGGUGCUCAACACCGGGGCUGCCCUUGAUACUGUCG